Molecule: ribosomal RNA, 595 nt
Filed under: uncultured bacterium
Lineage: Bacteria
Description: bacterial SSU rRNA
Rfam family: Bacterial small subunit ribosomal RNA
Source: RNAcentral
CCUACGGGAGGCAGCAGUGGGGGAAUCUUGCGCAAUGGGCGAAAGCCUGACGCAGCCAUGCCGCGUGAAUGAUGAAGGUCUUAGGAUUGUAAAAUUCUUUCACCGGGGACGAUAAUGACGGUACCCGGAGAAGAAGCCCCGGCUAACUUCGUGCCAGCAGCCGCGGUAAUACGAAGGGGGGCUAGCGUUGCUCGGAAUUACUGGGCGUAAAGGGAGCGUAGGCGGAUAGUUUAGUCAGAGGUGAAAGCCCAGGGCUCAACCUUGGAAUUGCCUUUGAUACUGGCUAUCUUGAGUAUGGGAGAGGUUAGCGGAACUCCGAGUGUAGAGGUGAAAUUCGUAGAUAUUCGGAAGAACACCAGUGGCGAAGGCGGCUAACUGGCCCAUUACUGACGCUGAGGCUCGAAAGCGUGGGGAGCAAACAGGAUUAGAUACCCUGGUAGUCCACGCCGUAAACGAUGAGUGCUAGUUGUCGGCAUGCAUGCAUGUCGGUGACGCAGCUAACGCAUUAAGCACUCCGCCUGGGGAGUACGGUCGCAAGAUUAAAACUUAAAUGAAUUGACGGCUGAGACCGNGCGAGACGACGACGAGGGAGAGG